CAGAGGGUCAACGCAGUGCUUCUGAGAGACAGGAAUGGAUACAAAAGACAGCUGAGAUGCCCUUCCUUCAGCACUCUAAGAGCAGCACACAGACACAACUCAGUGUCUCCGCUUCACUGUGUGUGGGGUCCAGGAAGCCAAGGAUGUUUGAGGAGCCACAGAACCUUCCCUGUCCGGUGUGGAGAGAGAGCUGAGAGUGAGAAGAGGAUCAGCAGGGUGUGCUUUCUUUCAAUUUACUUAUGAUCUUACCUGGUCCUGGCACACCUUUUUUGUUGUUGUUGUUGUUGUUGUUGUUGUUGUUUUGGUACCGGGAUCAAACUCGGGUCCUUGUGCUUGCACAGCAGGUGGUGAAACCACUGAGCUAAAUCCCCAGCCCUGUUGUUGUUUGUUUUUUGUUACAAGGUCUUGCUAUGUGGUUCAGGCUGGCCUUCAACUCACUAUGUAGCACAGGCUGGACUCAAAUUUGCAGAGAUCCUCCUGUCUCAGCCUCCCAAGUGCUAGGAUUACAGGUAUGCACCACCAUGCCCCACAGCUGGCACAUCUUUGGAAGAUAGGAGAACUGAAAUUUUUUUCCCUCCCCCUCCUUACAGAAAAGAAAACUGAGCCUGGAAGUUUAUCAAGGCAAGAUAGAAACAAUCCAGCCAUGUAACCUCCAGGUCAGUUCUCUGCACCUGGCUGCUAUUGCCUGAGUCUCAGAGGCUGGGAGAGAGGAAACACAGACAUCUGUCGGGGUG
This 734-nucleotide long non-coding RNA is filed under the name Heterocephalus glaber (naked mole-rat). Its description in RNAcentral is "lncRNA (ENSHGLG00000048794.1)". The record is from RNAcentral. Lineage: Eukaryota; Metazoa; Chordata; Mammalia; Rodentia; Bathyergidae.